GACGAACGCUGGCGGCGUGCUUAACACAUGCAAGUCGAACGGAAAGGCCCUGCUCUUGCGGGGCGCUCGAGUGGCGAACGGGUGAGUAACACGUGAGUAUCCCGUCCCUGACUUAGGGAUAACUUCAGGAAACUGGGGCUAAUACCGGAUAGGAGAUCUUGCUGCACGGGGGGGGUUGGAAAGAUUCGGCGGUUGGGGAUGGACUGGCGGCUUAUCGGCUUGUUGGUGGGGUAGUGGCGUACGAAGGCUGUGACGGGUAGCCGGCCUGGGAGGGGGGACGGGCACAAUGGGACUGAGGUAGGCCCCAGUCGCGUACGGGAGGCAGCGGGGGGAAAUAUUGCGCAGUGGGGGGGAGCGUGUUGCGACAGCCCCGGGAGCGGAAUACCGGCUUUCGGGUUGAAAACCACUUUCGCAUGAGACAAGGCGUGAUUGACGGUACUGGGUAAAGAAGCACCGGCUAACUACGUG
RNAcentral lists this ribosomal RNA (468 nucleotides) under uncultured bacterium. RNAcentral describes it as "partial 16S ribosomal RNA". It matches the Rfam family "Bacterial small subunit ribosomal RNA", at positions 28 to 507 of the family's 1533-position model. The record is from RNAcentral.